UAGGGAAUCUUCGGCAAUGGGGGGAACCCUGACCGAGCAACGCCGCGUGAGUGAAGAAGGUUUUCGGAUUGUAAAGCUCUGUUGUUAAGGAAGAACGAGUGUGAGAAUGGAAAGUUCAUACUGUGACGGUACUUAACCAGAAAGGGACGGCUAACUACGUGCCAGCAGCCGCGGUAAUACGUAGGUCCCGAGCGUUGUCCGGAUUUAUUGGGCGUAAAGCGAGCGCAGGCGGUUAGAUAAGUCUGAAGUUAAAGGCAGUGGCUCAACCAUUGUAGGCUUUGGAAACUGUUUAACGUGAGUGCAGAAGGGGAGGGUGGAAUUCCAUGUGUAGCGGUGAAAUGCGUAGAUAUAUGGAAGAACACCGGUGGCGAAAGCGGCUCUCUGGUCUGUAACUGACGCUGAGGCUCGAAAGCGUGGGGAGCGAACAGG
This 429-nucleotide ribosomal RNA is filed under the name Bacteroidota bacterium. RNAcentral describes it as "Bacteroidetes bacterium partial 16S ribosomal RNA". It matches the Rfam family "Bacterial small subunit ribosomal RNA", at positions 355 to 776 of the family's 1533-position model. The record is from RNAcentral. Lineage: Bacteria; Pseudomonadati; Bacteroidota.